This is a long non-coding RNA of Felis catus (domestic cat), 555 nucleotides long. RefSeq lists it as uncharacterized. The transcript has 2 exons. NCBI's taxonomy places the organism in Eukaryota, Metazoa, Chordata, Mammalia, Carnivora, Felidae. The record is from RefSeq and is a predicted model, not a curated record.
AGGGAAGAGUAUUCAAAGCAGAAGGGCACGUGAAAGGUCCUGAGACACGAGUGUCGCCAAAGGUUUGGAAGAGCCCAGGCAGGCUGGGAGCUGGAUCAAGGUGGAUGAGUAGUCUGGAAGCCACGAUUAGGAACCAGGAGAUCUCCGUCCGUCCUCGGAGCUCGGGAAUGACCGGAAUUCUGUCAGGCCUGAGGUUCGUGUUUAGGCGUAUUGCAUCAGGACCUUCUUGACUGGGGGUGAUCUGCUCUCACAACUGGAAACGGACAAGGAAAACCUUCUGAACAAAGAAAUGCAAUUAUUACCUGGUUCGUUGUCGGGAAGCCACAACUACCCAAGUAAGGAGCUGACUUCCGUCACGUGGAAGCUGGUGUUCGCCAACGCCGUCUGGGGGAUGGGCCCCAGACCUGGAAGGCGACAGAACCGGGGGAAAAGUGCUCCCUGUUUCUCAAAAAGCGAAGAAAGUUAGAAGAUAAAAUACAGUAAAACCUUGGGUUGUGAGGAACUUGUUCUGCAAGAUGAGCCAACAUUUCCAAUAAAUUUUAACUUGAUAAAUGA